Molecule: ribosomal RNA, 433 nt
Filed under: uncultured bacterium
Lineage: Bacteria
Description: partial 16S ribosomal RNA
Rfam family: Bacterial small subunit ribosomal RNA
Source: RNAcentral
AGCGAACGCUGGCGGCAGGCCUAACACAUGCAAGUCGAACGAACUCUUCGGAGUUAGUGGCGGACGGGUGAGUAACACGUGGGAACGUGCCUUUAGGUUCGGAAUAACUCAGGGAAACUUGUGCUAAUACCGAAUGUGCCCUUCGUGGGAAAGAUUUAUCGCCUUUAGAGCGGCCCGCGUCUGAUUAGCUAGUUGGUGAGGUAAAGGCUCACCAAGGCGACGAUCAGUAGCUGGUCUGAGAGGAUGAUCAGCCACAUUGGGACUGAGACACGGCCCAAACUCCUACGGGAGGCAGCAGUGGGGAAUCUUGCGCAAUGGGCGAAAGCCUGACGCAGCCAUGCCGCGUGAAUGAUGAAGGUCUUAGGAUUGUAAAAUUCUUUCACCGGGGACGAUAAUGACGGUACCCGGAGAAGAAGCCCCGGCUAACUUCGUG